AUUGAACGCUGGCGGCAGGCCUAACACAUGCACGUCGAACGAGUGGCGGACGGGUGAGUAAUGUCUGGGAAACUGCCUGAUGGCGGGGGAUAACUACUGGAAACGGUAGCUAAUACCGCAUACCAUCGGAUGUUCCCAGAUGGGAUUAGCUAGUAGGUGGGGUAAAGGCUCACCUGGGCGACGAUCCCUAGCUGGUCUGCGAGGAUGACGAGCGACACUGGAACUGUGACACGGUCCAGACGCCUACGGGAGGCAGCAGUGGGGAAGAUUGGACAAUGGGCGCAAGCCUGAAGCAGCCAUGCCGCGUGUAUGAAGAAGGCCUUCGGGUUGUAAAGUACUUUCAGCGGGGAGGCGUUACCCGCAGAAGAAGCACCGGCUAACUCCGUGCCAGCAGCCGCGGUAAUAC
RNAcentral lists this ribosomal RNA (406 nucleotides) under uncultured bacterium. RNAcentral's name for it is "partial 16S ribosomal RNA". It matches the Rfam family "Bacterial small subunit ribosomal RNA", at positions 30 to 526 of the family's 1533-position model. The record is from RNAcentral.